GCCGGAGUGGUGAAACUGGUAGACACGCACGUUUCAGAGGCGUGUGCUUUUACGAGCGUGGGGGUUCGACUCCCCCCUCCGGCACCA
This 87-nucleotide transfer RNA is filed under the name Neolewinella marina. RNAcentral's name for it is "Lewinella marina tRNA-Leu". It matches the Rfam family "tRNA". From Rfam's summary of the family: Transfer RNA (tRNA) molecules are approximately 80 nucleotides in length. Their secondary structure includes four short double-helical elements and three loops (D, anti-codon, and T loops). Further hydrogen bonds mediate the characteristic L-shaped molecular structure. tRNAs have two regions of fundamental functional importance: the anti-codon, which is responsible for specific mRNA codon recognition, and the 3' end, to which the tRNAs corresponding amino acid is attached (by aminoacyl-tRNA synthetases). tRNAs cope with the degeneracy of the genetic code in two manners: having more than one tRNA (with a specific anti-codon) for a particular amino acid; and 'wobble' base-pairing, i.e. permitting non-standard base-pairing at the 3rd anti-codon position. Lineage: Bacteria; Pseudomonadati; Bacteroidota; Saprospiria; Saprospirales; Lewinellaceae. The record is from RNAcentral. RNAcentral also lists the same sequence under 1 other name.